Non-coding RNA from Hippoglossus stenolepis (Pacific halibut), 74 nucleotides. The record is from the annotation of a RefSeq genome assembly. NCBI's taxonomy places the organism in Eukaryota, Metazoa, Chordata, Actinopteri, Pleuronectiformes, Pleuronectidae.
GUCUCUGUGGCGCAAUUGGUUAGCGCGUUCGGCUGUUAACCGAAAGGUUGGUGGUUCAAGUCCACCCAGGGACG